CCUACGGGGGGCUGCAGUAGGGAAUCUUCCGCAAUGGACGAAAGUCUGACGGAGCAACGCCGCGUGAACGAAGAAGGUCUUCGGAUCGUAAAGUUCUGUUGUUAGGGAAGAACACGUACCAUUCGAAUAGGGUGGUACCUUGACGGUACCUAACGAGAAAGCCCCGGCUAACUACGUGCCAGCAGCCGCGGUAAUACGUAGGGGGCAAGCGUUGUCCGGAAUUAUUGGGCGUAAAGCGCGCGCAGGCGGUUCUUUAAGUCUGAUGUGAAAUCUUGCGGCUCAACCGCAAGCGGUCAUUGGAAACUGGAAAACUUGAGGACAGAAGAGGAGAGUGGAAUUCCACGUGUAGCGGUGAAAUGCGUAGAGAUGUGGAGGAACACCAGUGGCGAAGGCGACUCUCUGGUCUGUAACUGACGCUGAGGCGCGAAAGCGUGGGUAGCGAACAGGAUUAGAUACCCCUGUAGUC
RNAcentral lists this ribosomal RNA (466 nucleotides) under uncultured Amphibacillus sp. RNAcentral's name for it is "bacterial SSU rRNA". It matches the Rfam family "Bacterial small subunit ribosomal RNA", at positions 338 to 795 of the family's 1533-position model. The record is from RNAcentral. Lineage: Bacteria; Bacillati; Bacillota; Bacilli; Caryophanales; Bacillaceae.